Molecule: unclassified non-coding RNA, 211 nt
Filed under: plant metagenome
Description: partial contains small subunit ribosomal RNA, internal transcribed spacer 1, and 5.8S ribosomal RNA
Source: RNAcentral
UUUCCGUAGGUGAACCUGCAGAAGGAUCAUUCAUAAUAAAGUGUUUUAUGGCACUUUUUAAAAAUCCAUAUCCACCUUGUGUGCAAUGUUAGAUCUCGUCAAUCUUGGCGAGAUUUUUAUACAUCAACUCAUUCUUUAACUAAUUUAUCUGAAAAAUAUUAUGAAUACUUAAUUCAAAAUACAACUUUCAACAACGGAUCUCUUGGCUCUC